AGUGAACGCUGGCGGUAGGCCUAACACAUGCAAGUCGAACGGCAGCACAGUAAGAGCUUGCUCUUACGGGUGGCGAGUGGCGGACGGGUGAGGAAUACAUCGGAAUCUACUUUUUCGUGGGGGAUAACGUAGGGAAACUUACGCUAAUACCGCAUACGACCUACGGGUGAAAGCAGGGGAUCUUCGGACCUUGCGCGAUUGAAUGAGCCGAUGUCGGAUUAGCUAGUCGGCGGGGUAAAGGCCCACCAAGGCGACGAUCCGUAGCUGGUCUGAGAGGAUGAUCAGCCACACUGGAGCUGAGACACGGUCCAGACUCCUACGGGAGGCAGCAGUGGGGAAUAUUGGACAAUGGGCGCAAGCCUGAUCCAGCCAUACCGCGUGGGUGAAGAAGGCCUUCGGGUUGUAAAGCCCUUUUGUUGGGAAAGAAAAGCAGCAGGUUAAUACCCCGCUGUUCUGACGGUACCCAAAGAAUAAGCACCGGCUAACUUCGUG
RNAcentral lists this ribosomal RNA (492 nucleotides) under uncultured bacterium. Its description in RNAcentral is "partial 16S ribosomal RNA". It matches the Rfam family "Bacterial small subunit ribosomal RNA", at positions 29 to 507 of the family's 1533-position model. The record is from RNAcentral.